AGUGAACGCUGGCGGUAGGCCUAACACAUGCAAGUCGAACGGCAGCACAGUAAGAGCUUGCUCUUACGGGUUGCGAGUGGCGGACGGGUCAGGAAUACAUCGUAACCUACUUUUUCGUGUGGGUUAACGUAGGGAAACUUACGCCAAUACCGCAUACGACCUACGGUUGAAAGCAGUGGAUCUUUUGACCUUGCGCGGUUGAAUGAGCCGAUGUCGUAUUAGCUAGUGGGCGGGGUAAAGGCCCACCAAGUCGACGAUCCGUAGCUGGACUGAGUGGAUGGUAGGCCACCUUGGAACUGAGCCGCGGUCAAGAGUACUGAGAGACGGACCAGUGGGGAACGGUGGACAACGGGCGCAAACCUGAUACAGCCAUACGAAGUGGGAGAAGAAGGCCUUCGGGGUGUGAAGACCUCUUGUUGGUAGUGAAAAGCAGCAGGUUAAUACGCAGCUUUUCUGACGGUAACGGAAAAAGAAGCACCGGCUAACUUCGUG
RNAcentral lists this ribosomal RNA (492 nucleotides) under uncultured bacterium. Its description in RNAcentral is "partial 16S ribosomal RNA". It matches the Rfam family "Bacterial small subunit ribosomal RNA", at positions 29 to 507 of the family's 1533-position model. The record is from RNAcentral.